This 180-nucleotide small RNA is filed under the name human gut metagenome. Its description in RNAcentral is "Bacteroidales-1 6S-Bacteroidales RNA suggested". It matches the Rfam family "Bacteroidales-1 6S-Bacteroidales RNA suggested". The record is from RNAcentral.
CAGAUUGGGAAACUCUUCAAUCCUUUUAGAACUCCCGAGACAAGCUUAGCGAAUUGAUGGCGGGCUCCACUCCCCUCGGGGAGCAUGCCACAAACGGCAUCAAGGCAGAUUACAAAGAUUCGCGAGCACUCAAAUCCUGUCUUUCCCGAGUUUCUACCAAAUCCUUCGGUGAGGCCUUUU